UAUGGAUCCUCAUGCUCCUCCUGAUCUGGAGUAUCCCACUCAUACUCCCCAUUUUCAAUUCUCUUGAGUUCCUCUUGAAUCUCAUCCAUACAGGCAUCGAUGAUAUGAGCUCAGCCAAGACAACACCAAAGCUAUAGACAUCACUCUUUUCAGUUAGCUGAUAACAGUUGAAAUAUUCAGGAUCAACAUAUCCAGGAGUCCCUUGUGGAGCAGUUGAGAUAUGUGUCGCAUUCGUCGGGAAUAAUCUAGAAAUCCCAAAAUCUGCAACUUUGACACAAAAAUUGUUGUCAAGGAGAAUGUUGUUAGUCUUCACAUCUCGAUGAAUAAUAUCAGAAGCAUGAAGGUAAACCAACGCAUUCGCUGUUUCUAUGGCAAUUUUCAAUCGAACUGGCCAGGUAAGUGGACUACACUUGGCUUGAUUUCCAUGGAGAUGAUCAGCAACAGUGCCGUUGGGAAUGUAUUCAUAAACAAGAAGCAGCUCCCGGCUGCGACGUGAAGUGCACCCAUAAAGAGAUACUAGAUUUUGGUGGCGCAGUCUUGUGAGGAUUUCGAUUUCAUUCAGAAAUUGAUUAACCUUCCUGUAGUUACGCUCAUAUAAGCGUUUGACAGCAACUUCACGCCCGUCUUGAAGUUUUCCUGGUUGAUAUUGAUCAAAACAUUAUUAGUCCAUCAACAAAUUGUCAGAUCUUGCUUCAUGAUCUGUCACAAAAUUAUGACUUUCUUACCAUAGUAAACAGUUCCAAAACCUCCAUCUCCGAGUUCAUUCUCUGAAGCAAAGUUCUUAGUUGCAUCUUCGAGUUCCGAGUAGGAGAAGAUGGAGAGUCCAAAGUAUAUAUUAGCAUUUUCCAGGUCAGAUUUUGAGAAGGCACGAGAAUAAGUGUUUGUUCGUUGAAGGUUUGUAGAAGCGUUUUUUCGAUUAUGUCGAUACCAGAAGAAAAUCGCGAGCACAACUGUUGUUAGGACCAUAGCUCCGCAAACAACACCAGUUAUUACUCUCCGUUCUGAUCCUGCAACAGUAAGUCAGCUUAGUGUUAGCUUGUGAACAGUAAAAUUUAGUAAGAUGCAUUUCUAGUACAGAGAUAGAGAGACUCAAAGCCUACUUAUCAGCAGGAUACGAGUCCUAUUAUUACACUAACAAUCUAAAAUCAUACUUUUACUUGCA
This is a long non-coding RNA of Mercurialis annua (annual mercury), 1162 nucleotides long. RefSeq lists it as uncharacterized. The transcript has 2 exons. Lineage: Eukaryota; Viridiplantae; Streptophyta; Magnoliopsida; Malpighiales; Euphorbiaceae. The record is from RefSeq and is a predicted model, not a curated record.